ACGGUGCGCUUGACUCCCCUUGGCCGCGCAUCGUGACACCACAGUGCAUCUCCAUGGCUCUGGCCUCUGCCUUGGGCCACUUGUCAGCGAGAUGAAGACAACUGUCGGUGCUCUGCUGCCUGCGCAAGCCCUGGACCUGGCACUGGGCAAGACUGCUGUCUGCUGGCCACAAAGGCUUAAACUGUCCAGGAGACUUGGGACACAGGGUCUCACUACACAGCUCCAACUCGCAGUGAUCCU
Long non-coding RNA from Octodon degus (degu), 240 nucleotides. RefSeq lists it as uncharacterized. NCBI's taxonomy places the organism in Eukaryota, Metazoa, Chordata, Mammalia, Rodentia, Octodontidae. The transcript has 3 exons. The record is from RefSeq and is a predicted model, not a curated record.